AUUGAACGCUGGCGGCAUGCCUUACACAUGCAAGUCGAACGGUAACAGGUCUUCGGAUGCUGACGAGUGGCGAACGGGUGAGUAAUACAUCGGAACGUGCCUAGUAGUGGGGGAUAACUACUCGAAAGAGUGGCUAAUACCGCAUGAGAUCUACGGAUGAAAGCAGGGGAUCGCAAGACCUUGUGCUACUAGAGCGGCCGAUGGCAGAUUAGGUAGUUGGUGGGAUAAAAGCUUACCAAGCCGACGAUCUGUAGCUGGUCUGAGAGGACGAUCAGCCACACUGGGACUGAGACACGGCCCAGGCUCCUACGGGAGGAAGCAGUGGGGAAUUUUGGACAAUGGGCGAAAGCCUGAUCCAGCAAUGCCGCGUGCAGGAUGAAGGCCUUCGGGUUGUAAACUGCUUUUGUACGGAACGAAAAGCCCCGGGUUAAUACCCUGGGGUCAUGACGGUACCGUAAGAAUAAGCACCGGCUAACUACGUGCCAGCAGCCGCCGCAA
This 498-nucleotide ribosomal RNA is filed under the name uncultured bacterium. RNAcentral's name for it is "partial 16S ribosomal RNA". It matches the Rfam family "Bacterial small subunit ribosomal RNA", at positions 30 to 523 of the family's 1533-position model. The record is from RNAcentral.